Molecule: non-coding RNA, 75 nt
Organism: Carassius auratus (goldfish)
Lineage: Eukaryota; Metazoa; Chordata; Actinopteri; Cypriniformes; Cyprinidae
Source: the annotation of a RefSeq genome assembly
GUUUCCGUAGUGUAAUGGUUAUCACGUUCGCCUCAACACGCGAAAGGUCCCCAGUUCGAAAACUGGGCGGGAACA